ACAUCUUAAACUUAACAAAAGCAAAAGAACACAUCUCAAACUUAACAAAAGAACACAUCUGAAAGAACACAUCUAGUUACAUAGAUUGAUUAAUUAAAAUAGUGCUUACAAAACUAUGCAUAUAACAUAUGUCAUAUACAUAUACAAAUACUCUCCAAUUAUAUUAAAAUAUUCACAUAUAUAACUGCUACUAAUACAAAUAAUACAACUAAAUACAUUCUUAUUCUAAAAAACACACUAUUCGUCUCCACUUCAAACUCCUUCAACUCAUCUCGCAGUGCAGAUGUCUGUUUGAAAUAAAAUAAUACUUAUAUAGGAUGAAACAAUCCUAAUCAUAAUAAAAAAAACGAUUAGAUUCGAGUUCAUACAAUCCUAAUAGGUCUCGUGUUAACCAUUAAAUUUUGGGCCAAUAAUUAUAAUUCAAAUAUACAAUAAGCCCAUUCGUAAAUGUGAGUUGGUGGGCCUCAUGAAUGCCCAUGCAAAUAAAAAAAAAAGGGCCUCAUUCCAACCCAUUAAAUAUUAUUAUUUUGGCCCAAUAAAUUAAAGCGGGCCUGAUCAACGACGACCUACAUUCACAUUCUAUAAAAUAUCUAUUCGAAAUUCGAUUUCAAAUCACAACCCAUUAAAAAUUCGAUUUUUGAAUUUCAAAUUUUGAAUUCCCAAUCAAUUCCCAAAAUAUCCUCCAACAACCCAUUCAAAAUUCGGAUUCGAAUUUCGAAUUCCCAACCAAUUCCCAAAAUAUCCUCCAACAACCCAUUCAAAAUUCGAUUUCGAAUUUCGAAUUCCCUAACCAAUUCUCAAAACAUCAUCCAACAAUCCAUUCGAAAUUCGAUUUUGAAUUCCCAACCAACUCCAAAAUAUCCUCUAAUAAUCCAUUCAAAAUUCGAAUUUCGAAUUUCGAUUUCCCAACCAAUUCCGAAAAUAUCCUCCAACAAUCCAUUCAAAAUUCGAAUUUUGAAUUUCGAAUUUCCAACCAAUUCCCAACCAAUCCCAAAUAUCUUUCAGCCAACUACAACAACAUAUUCAAAAUUCGAAUUCGAAUUUCAAAUCCCUUAAAAUAUCUCUCACCAUUCCUCCUAUUAUAAAUACGAGAACCGAAAUCAAACUCCGGAGAAUUUUUUUACGGAGACGAUAUAAUAGACAAAGAACAAAAAAAAAUAGAUAGAUUGCUACACUCGUUCCGACAUACAAAAAAUUCAAAAAAAGAAGAUAUCGCCGAGCCGCGGAAAGAAGGAGGAUCGCCGAGCCGCGGAAAGGAGGAGAAAUCGCCGAGCCGCGAAAAGGAGGAGAGAUCGCCGAGCCACGGAAAGAUGGAGGAAUCGUCAAGCUGAUUCAUCCAAUCCGUCAUUUGAUCAACAGGUAAAGAAAAAAAAAGAAGAAUAAUGAAGAAGAAGAAGAAAAAAAAUCUCUUUUCUUCCCCCUCAUUUUUUUCCUUUUUUGGUCCAGCGAUCGUAGCUAUCCAUACCAUCUAGAUGGCUUCGAUGGGAGAGUGGAGGGGAAUCUUUGAUUCCCCGUUUCUUCGGACCUCUC
Molecule: long non-coding RNA, 1530 nt
Filed under: Ananas comosus (pineapple)
Lineage: Eukaryota; Viridiplantae; Streptophyta; Magnoliopsida; Poales; Bromeliaceae
Description: long non-coding RNA (ACOM_LNC044726)
Source: RNAcentral